UUAAGUUCAGCGGGUAUCCUUACCUGAUUCGAGGUCAACCCAUAAUUUAUUCAAGAUGGGGAUCCAUGAUAGCAGUAUCAGAUAUACUAAACAACUAAUUCGUAUCCUGGAGACAUUUAUAAAGUCUGUUAUUUUAUACCCGAUAUCCACCUGAUGAAUUUUAGCAGAGUAUCUCGUAAGCAUAUGUACUAAAUAUACCC
This 200-nucleotide unclassified non-coding RNA is filed under the name Tuber sp. RNAcentral's name for it is "partial internal transcribed spacer 2". Lineage: Eukaryota; Fungi; Ascomycota; Pezizomycetes; Pezizales; Tuberaceae. The record is from RNAcentral.